Molecule: long non-coding RNA, 807 nt
Filed under: Durio zibethinus
Lineage: Eukaryota; Viridiplantae; Streptophyta; Magnoliopsida; Malvales; Malvaceae
Description: long non-coding RNA (DZIB_LNC000553)
Source: RNAcentral
AGAUAUAUGAUUAUAUGCAUCUCAUUUCCUUUCUCAAAAUACUAAAAAAGUUCUGAAUAAAGAUGCUAAGAAAAUGAAAUAUGUUAUAGAUAUAAAAAUCUCUGUAAAGCUUACAUACGAUAAUUAUUGACCCAUUUCUGUAUGGGACACAAAGCCUAGAAACAAAUAAAUAUAAAAUAAUAACUUCUCAAUUGUGAUUAAUCUAAAACAUGCAAGAUGAUCCAAAAAAAAACAAAGGAACAUUAAUUCAUCUCUACCUCCUGUACGAUAUCUCUAGUCUCUACACAAUUCUAGGUAUAUAAUUUGUGAUAUUGUCACAGAAAAUAUCCAAAAAAUAUGCUUAUAGCAGAAGAGAAAAGAUGCUGCAAUUGCAAAGCCUAUGCAACAGGAAAGGAGAAGAAAGAAAAAGGAGAUAUAUUAUCUGAACUUUGAGUUCUUUUGUACGUAGCUGGUCUUCUCUAUCAUCGCUUGUUGUGUAAUGGGUUUGACCCUGUUGGAACUCUUCUCUUCUCCUGAUCAAACUCCCUUGCUUGGCCUGAAAAGGGUGAAGUACUACUUGACCCUGGAUGAAAACCCUGUUGUCCGGCACGUUGUCUGGUACCUUUGGCUGAAGGGUCAGAUGCAAGGACGUUCCUCCAGAUUGCUUGGGUCUUGGGAGUAAAAAGAAGGAGAAUAAAAACAAGGGAGCAAAGCUGAAAGCGAUUCAUCUUUUCUUUGAGAGAGAUUUUUUUUUACCAGUUUUCUAUGAGAGAUGUGGAGAUAUGGAAAUGCAGUCAUAGCCUAGCCAGAUUGUUAUUGUAUAUAUGG